This 1483-nucleotide ribosomal RNA is filed under the name Mycoplasmopsis verecunda. RNAcentral describes it as "Mycoplasma verecundum 16S ribosomal RNA". It matches the Rfam family "Bacterial small subunit ribosomal RNA". The record is from RNAcentral. Lineage: Bacteria; Bacillati; Mycoplasmatota; Mycoplasmoidales; Metamycoplasmataceae.
GGAUGAACGCUGGCUGUGUGCCUAAUACAUGCAUGUCGAGCGGAGUUCUUCGGAACUUAGCGGCGAAUGGGUGAGUAACACGUACUUAACGUACCUUUUAGAUUGGGACAACGAUGAGAAAUUAUCGCUAAUACCGGAUACUUAUAAGGAAGGCAUCUUYCUUAUAUAAAAGGAGCUUUCAAGCUCCACUAAAAGAUCGGGGUGCGGAACAUUAGCUAGUUGGUGAGGUAAUGGCUCACCAAGGCUAUGAUGUUUAACGGGGUUGAGAGACUGAUCCGUCACACUGGGACUGAGAUACGGCCCAGACUCCUACGGGAGGCAGCAGUAGGGAAUUUUCCACAAUGGACGAAAGUCUGAUGGAGCGACACAGCGUGCAGGAUGAAGGCCUUCGGGUUGUAAACUGCUGUUAUUUAGGAUGAAAAAAUAGUAGAGGAAAUGCUAUUAUCUUGACAGUACUAAAUCASAAAGCAACGGCUAACUAUGUGCCAGCAGCCGCGGUAAUACAUAGGUUGCAAGCGUUAUCCGGAAUUAUUGGGCGUAAAGCGUCUGUAGGUUGUUUGUUAAGUCUGGCGUCAAAACUUGGGGCUCAACCCCAAAUCGCGUUGGAUACUGGCAAACUAGAAUUGUGUAGAGGUUAACGGAAUUCCUUGUGAAGCGGUGAAAUGCGUAGAUAUAAGGAAGAACAYCAACUUGGCGAAGGCAGUUAACUGGGCACAUAUUGACACUGAGAGACGAAAGCGUGGGGAGCAAACAGGAUUAGAUACCCUGGUAGUCCACGCCGUAAACGAUGAUGAUUAGCUGAUGGGAACCAUCGGCGCAGCUAACGCAUUAAAUCAUCCGCCUGAGUAGUAUGCUCGCAAGAGUGAAACUUAAAGGAAUUGACGGGGAUCCGCACAAGCGGUGGAGCAUGUGGUUUAAUUUGAAGAUACGCGUAGAACCUUACCCACUCUUGACAUCUUCUGCAAAGCUAUAGAGAUAUAGUGGAGGUUAACAGAAUGACAGAUGGUGCAUGGUUGUCGUCAGCUCGUGUCGUGAGAUGUUCGGUUAAGUCCUGCAACGAGCGCAACCCUUAUCCUUAAUUAAAUACCUUAAGGAGACUGCCCGGGUAACUGGGAGGAAGGUGGGGACGACGUCAAAUCAUCAUGCCUCUUACGAGUGGGGCAACACACGUGCUACAAUGGAAGGUACAAAGAGAAGCAAUAUGGCGACAUGGAGCAAAUCUCAAAAAACCUUUCUCAGUUCGGAUUGUAGUCUGCAACUCGACUACAUGAAGUCGGAAUCGCUAGUAAUCGUAGAUCAGCUACGCUACGGUGAAUACGUUCUCGGGUCUUGUACACACCGCCCGUCACACCAUGGGAGCUGGUAAUGCCCGAAGUCGGUUUAGUCAACUACGGAGACAACUGCCUAAGGCAGGACUGGUGACUGGGGUGAAGUCGUAACAAGGUAUCCCUACGAGAACGUGGGGAUGGAUUACCUCCUUUCU